This 468-nucleotide ribosomal RNA is filed under the name uncultured bacterium. Its description in RNAcentral is "partial 16S ribosomal RNA". It matches the Rfam family "Bacterial small subunit ribosomal RNA", at positions 28 to 507 of the family's 1533-position model. The record is from RNAcentral.
GACGAACGCUGGCGGCGUGCUUAACACAUGCAAGUCGAACGGAAAGGCCCUGCUUUUUUGGGGUGCUCGAGUGGCGAACGGGUGAGUAACACGUGAGUAACCUGCCCUUGACUUUGGGAUAACUUCAUGAAACUGGGGCUAAUACCGGAUAAGAGCUCCUGCUUCAUGGUGGGGGUUGGAAAGUUUCGGCGGUUGGGGAUGUACUCGCGGCUUAUCAGCUUGUUGGUGGGGUAGUGGCUUACCAAGGCUUUGACGGGUAGCCGGGCUGAGAGGGGGACCGGCCACAUUGGGACUGAGCUAAGGCACAGACUAAUACGGGAGGCAGAAGUGGGGAAUAUUGUACAAUGGGAGGAAGCAUGAUGCAGCAAAGCCGUGUGCGGGAUGACGGGAUGCGGGUUGUAAGCCGAUUUCGUCUGUGACGAAGCGUGAGUGACGGUAAUGGGUAAAGAAGCACCGGCUAACUACGUG